GGUUGUGUAGUGUAAUGGUUAGCACCCAGGAUUCUGAUUCCUGUAAUCCCGGUUCGAUCCCGGGCACGACCU
This is a transfer RNA of Aspergillus bombycis, 72 nucleotides long. It matches the Rfam family "tRNA". Rfam says of the family: Transfer RNA (tRNA) molecules are approximately 80 nucleotides in length. The record is from Rfam. Lineage: Eukaryota; Fungi; Ascomycota; Eurotiomycetes; Eurotiales; Aspergillaceae.